AUCGCUUCUCAGCCUUUUGGCUAAGAUCAAGUGUAGAAAUUGAUCUCAUUAAUGGUUAAAGCAGCAUGAAAAUAAUGUGGCCAGUUUGAAGAGUUGAAAUACAUAUAAAGGCAAGGGCCUUUAUAUGUAAUUCACCUAAAUGGCAAAAUGCUCCUGUUAACAGUUUUGUUUUUAUUACUGAAG
Molecule: small nuclear RNA, 183 nt
Organism: Mustela erminea (ermine)
Lineage: Eukaryota; Metazoa; Chordata; Mammalia; Carnivora; Mustelidae
Product: U2 spliceosomal RNA
Exons: 1
Source: RefSeq, a predicted model, not a curated record